GGAGCUGUGGUUCAGUGGUAGAGCAUCUGCUAUGGAAUGUAGACAGCCCCAGGUUCAAUCUCUGUCAUCUCCA
RNAcentral lists this transfer RNA (73 nucleotides) under Sphaerodactylus townsendi. RNAcentral describes it as "tRNA-Pro". It matches the Rfam family "tRNA". From Rfam's summary of the family: Transfer RNA (tRNA) molecules are approximately 80 nucleotides in length. Their secondary structure includes four short double-helical elements and three loops (D, anti-codon, and T loops). Lineage: Eukaryota; Metazoa; Chordata; Lepidosauria; Squamata; Sphaerodactylidae. The record is from RNAcentral.